UACGUAGGGUGCGAGCGUUAAUCGGAAUUACUGGGCGUAAAGCGUGCGCAGGCGGCUUUGCAAGACAGAUGUGAAAUCCCCGGGCUCAACCUGGGAGCUGCAUUUGUGACUGCAAGGCUAGAGUACGGCAGAGGGGGAUGGAAUUCCGCGUGUAGCAGUGAAAUGCGUAGAUAUGCGGAGGAACACCAAUGGCGAAGGCAAUCCCCUGGGCCUGUACUGACGCUCAUGCACGAAAGCGUGGGGAGCAAAAGGG
RNAcentral lists this ribosomal RNA (253 nucleotides) under uncultured bacterium. RNAcentral's name for it is "partial 16S ribosomal RNA". It matches the Rfam family "Bacterial small subunit ribosomal RNA", at positions 524 to 776 of the family's 1533-position model. The record is from RNAcentral.